CCGGCCUCACGCAAUCCUCCAGUUGCAGGGGCAGACGAGGCUCGGCCUGGCUGACGACAAAAAUCUGAAACAGGAAAAGAAGAUCCUGAGGAGAGGGGCCAGAGAGAGAGAGAAUGCCCACUGUAAAGGAUUGGAUGGAGUCCUCUUAUCAAAGCCAGCCACUGGCAAACAGUUUUUUUCUGUCCCUGUGGUUGAAGUUUGUGCUGAUGGAUUAAAUGUAGAGUCAGUGACUUACUACAUGUUAAGUUAAAAAAAAAAAAAAAAAAACGAUUGACUCCACUCAAUGAUGAAUAAAGAUUUAAUUACAAAAGUA
Molecule: long non-coding RNA, 313 nt
Organism: Oncorhynchus nerka (sockeye salmon)
Lineage: Eukaryota; Metazoa; Chordata; Actinopteri; Salmoniformes; Salmonidae
Exons: 2
Source: RefSeq, a predicted model, not a curated record